This 328-nucleotide ribosomal RNA is filed under the name uncultured Sandonidae. RNAcentral's name for it is "bacterial SSU rRNA". The stretch from base 118 to 328 matches the Rfam family "Eukaryotic small subunit ribosomal RNA", at positions 744 to 955 of the family's 1831-position model. Lineage: Eukaryota; Cercozoa; Glissomonadida; Viridiraptoridae. The record is from RNAcentral.
GAUUUCUGACCUCGUCUCUGCUAGCCGGCCACGGUUUCGUGUGUUAGUGCUGGCACAACAGGUCAUCCUUCCACUCCCUUCGUUCAGUCUCUCUUCAUUGAGGGGUGGAGGCAGGGGUGGAUCGUUUACUUUGAAAAAAUUAGAGUGUUUCAAGCAGGCUUGAUGCUAUGAAUACAUUAGCAUGGAAUAAUAAUUUAGGACUUCGGUUCUAUUUUGUUGGUUUCUAGAAUUGAAGUAAUGAUUGAGAGGGACAGUUGGGGGUGCUAGUAUUCAGCGGCCAGAGGUGAAAUUCUCGGAUUCGCUGAAGACUAACUGAUGCGAAAGCAUU